Molecule: long non-coding RNA, 213 nt
Filed under: Gossypium barbadense (sea-island cotton)
Lineage: Eukaryota; Viridiplantae; Streptophyta; Magnoliopsida; Malvales; Malvaceae
Description: long non-coding RNA (GBAR_LNC000396)
Source: RNAcentral
AAUUCCUGGCCAUCGUGGGACUUGAAAUCAUAAUCAGCAUAAUAAAAUGAAAAGAAACAUGCAAGAUUCGUAUGACUAACCUAAAACAUAACCAUGCCAAUAAACAGGCUUAAAAAAUUAAAAAAAAUCAGAUAGAAAUCACCGUAAACCAAGAAUGAGUAGCCCUGAAAGAAAUGUCUUAUCCAACCAGGAGACACCGUUAGACCCUAAUGC